UUAAGUCUUGACGAGUAAGAGGGUCGCGGCGGUGAGCGCAGAAGGGUCAGGGCGAGAGCCUGCCUGGAGCCGCCGUCGGUGCAGAUCUUGGUGGUAGUAGCAAAUACUCUAGCGAGGGCCUGGAGGACUGACGUGGAGAAGGGUUUCUUGUGAACAGCCGUUGCACAAGAGUCAGUCGACCCUGAGCCCUAGGAGAAAUCCAAUGUCGAUGGGUAGCUUGACAAAAUGCGCACACACUUGUUGUUGCAAAAUUUAACAGCUCCUGUCGGGCAAAAGGGAAUCCGGUUCCUAUUCCGGAACCCGGCUGCGUAACCGCCACUUUGCGGGCACUUGCUUGCGAGCGCUCGUCGGGGUAACCCAAACUGGCCUGGAGACGCCGGCGGGGGGUCUGGAAAGAGUUUUCUUUUCUUUAUAAGCGUUCGAGUACCCUGGAAUCCUAUAGCAGGGAGAUAGGGUUUGGAACGCGAAGAGCACCGCAGUUGCGGCGGUGUCCGGACCUUCCCCCCGGACCUUGAAAAUCCAGGUGAGGGCCACGCGGAAGUCGCGCCGG
This 550-nucleotide ribosomal RNA is filed under the name Purohita taiwanensis. Its description in RNAcentral is "eukaryotic LSU rRNA". It matches the Rfam family "Eukaryotic large subunit ribosomal RNA", at positions 1367 to 1840 of the family's 3401-position model. The record is from RNAcentral. Lineage: Eukaryota; Metazoa; Arthropoda; Insecta; Hemiptera; Delphacidae.